AGGCAGCAGUGAGGAAUAUUGCGCAAUGGGGGAAACCCUGACGCAGCGACGCCGCGUGAGUGAGGAAGGCCUUCGGGUCGUAAAGCUCUGUCAGAAGGGAAGAAGUGUUAUACGGUUAAUACCCGUAUAAUUUGACGGUACCUUCAGAGGAAGCACCGGCUAACUCCGUGCCAGCAGCCGCGGUAAUACGGAGGGUGCGAGCGUUGUUCGGAAUUACUGGGCGUAAAGGGCGCGUAGGCGGCUUUAUAAGUCAGAUGUGAAAGCCCACGGCUUAACUGUGGAAGUGCAUUUGAAACUGUGAAGCUUGAGUAUCGGAGGGGAGUGUGGAAUUCCCGGUGUAGAGGUGAAAUUCGUAGAGAUCGGGAGGAACACCGGUGGCGAAGGCGACACUCUGGACGAAUACUGACGCUGAGGCGCGAAAGCGUGGGGAGCAAACAGGAUUAGAUACCCUGGUAGUCCACGCCGUAAACGAUGUGAACUAGAGGUAGGUGGUGUUGAUCCCAUCUGUCUCGCAGCUAACGCAUUAAGUUCACCGCCUGGGGAGUACGGUCGCAAGAUUAAAACUCAAAUGAAUUGACGG
Molecule: ribosomal RNA, 580 nt
Filed under: uncultured delta proteobacterium
Lineage: Bacteria; Deltaproteobacteria
Description: bacterial SSU rRNA
Rfam family: Bacterial small subunit ribosomal RNA
Source: RNAcentral